CAGCAGCCACGGUAAUGCGAAGGGGGCUAGCGUUGUUCGGAUUUACUGGGCGUAAAGGGCGCGUAGGCGGGCUGAUAAGUCAGGGGUGAAAUCCCAAGGCUCAACCUUGGAACUGCCUUUGAUACUGUUUGUCUUGAGUUCGAGAGAGGUAAGUGGAACUGCGAGUGUAGAGGUGAAAUUCGUAGAUAUUCGCAAGAACACCAGUGGCGAAGGCGGCUUACUGGCUCGAAACUGACGCUGAGGCGCGAAAGCGUGGGGAGCAAACAGGAUUAGAUACCCCCGUAGUCCCUGUCUCUUAUAC
Molecule: ribosomal RNA, 301 nt
Filed under: uncultured bacterium
Lineage: Bacteria
Description: partial 16S ribosomal RNA
Rfam family: Bacterial small subunit ribosomal RNA
Source: RNAcentral